UGCAGUCGAGGGGUANAUGUCUUCGGAUAUAGAGACCGGCGCACGGGUGCGUAACGCGUAUGCAAUCUGCCUUUCACAGAGGGAUAGCCCAGAGAAAUUUGGAUUAAUACCUCAUAGUAUAAUCAAGCCGCAUGGUUUAAUUAUUAAAGUCACAACGGUGAAAGAUGAGCAUGCGUCCCAUUAGCUAGUUGGUAAGGUAACGGCUUACCAAGGCAACGAUGGGUAGGGGUCCUGAGAGGGAGAUCCCCCACACUGGUACUGAGACACGGACCAGACUCCUACGGGAGGCAGCAGUGAGGAAUAUUGGACAAUGGGCGCAAGCCUGAUCCAGCCAUGCCGCGUGCAGGAUGACGGUCCUAUGGAUUGUAAACUGCUUUUGUACGAGAAGAAACAUCCCGACGUGUCGGGACUUGACGGUAUCGUAAGAAUAAGGAUCGGCUAACUCCGUGCCAGCAGCCGCGGUAAUACGGAGGAUCCAAGCGUUAUCCGGAAUCAUUGGGUUUAAAGGGUCCGUAGGCGGUUUAGUAAGUCAGUGGUGAAAGCCCAUCGCUCAACGGUGGAACGGCCAUUGAUACUGCUGAACUUGAAUUAUUAGGAAGUAACUAGAAUAUGUAGUGUAGCGGUGAAAUGCUUAGAUAUUACAUGGAAUACCAAUUGCGAAGGCAGGUUACUACUAAUGGAUUGACGCUGAUGGACGAAAGCGUGGGGAGCGAACAGGAUUAGAUACCCUGGUAGUCCACGCCGUAAACGAUGGAUACUAGCUGUUGGGGGCAACUUCAGUGGCUAAGCGAAAGUGAUAAGUAUCCCACCUGGGGAGUACGUUCGCAAGAAUGAAACUCAAAGGAAUUGACGGGGGCCC
Molecule: ribosomal RNA, 859 nt
Filed under: Flavobacterium sp.
Lineage: Bacteria; Pseudomonadati; Bacteroidota; Flavobacteriia; Flavobacteriales; Flavobacteriaceae
Description: bacterial SSU rRNA
Rfam family: Bacterial small subunit ribosomal RNA
Source: RNAcentral